GAAAAGAAUGCUAAUACCGCAUAACAUAUAUUUAUCGCAUGGUAGAUAUAUCAAAGAUUUAUCGCUUAGAGAUGGACUCGCGUCCGAUUAGUUAGUUGGUGAGGUAACGGCUCACCAAGACUGCGAUCGGUAGCCGGACUGAGAGGUUGAACGGCCACAUUGGGACUGAGACACGGCCCAGACUCCUACGGGAGGCAGCAGUGGGGGAUAUUGCGCAAUGGGGGAAACCCUGACGCAGCAACGCCGCGUGAAGGAUGAAGGUCUUCGGAUUGUAAACUUCUUUUAUUAAGGACGAAGAAAGUGACGGUACUUAAUGAAUAAGCUCCGGCUAACUACGUGCCAGCAGCCGCGGUAAUACGUAGGGAGCAAGCGUUGUCCGGAUUUACUGGGUGUAAAGGGUGCGUAGGCGGCUUUGCAAGUCAGAUGUGAAAUCUAUGGGCUCAACCCAUAGCCUGCAUUUGAAACUGCAGAGCUUGAGUGAAGUAGAGGCAGGCGGAAUUCCCCGUGUAGCGGUGAAAUGCGUAGAGAUGGGGAGGAACACCAGUGGCGAAGGCGGCCUGCUGGGCUUUAACUGACGCUGAGGCACGAAAGCGUGGGUAGCAAACAGGAUUAGAUACCCUGGUAGUCCACGCUGUAAACCCUUAAUAGUAGGUGUGGGGGGUCUGACCCCUUCCGUGCC
Molecule: ribosomal RNA, 679 nt
Filed under: uncultured bacterium
Lineage: Bacteria
Description: bacterial SSU rRNA
Rfam family: Bacterial small subunit ribosomal RNA
Source: RNAcentral